UCUCUGGGACUGAGACACGGCCCAGACUCCUACGGGAGGCAGCAGUGGGGAAUAUUGCACAAUGGGCGCAAGCCUGAUGCAGCGACGCCGCGUGAGGGAUGACGGCCUUCGGGUUGUAAACCUCUUUCAGUAGGGAAGAAGCGAAAGUGACGGUACCUGCAGAAGAAGCGCCGGCUAACUACGUGCCAGCAGCCGGCGUAAUACGUAGGGCCCAAGCGUUAUCCGGAAUUAUUGGGCGUAAAGAGCUCGUAGGCGGUUUGUCGCGUCUGCUGUGAAACACGGGGGCUCACCUCCGGUUCUGCAGUGGGUACGGGCAGACUAGAGUGCAGUAGGGGAGACUGGAAUUCCUGGUGUAGCGGUGAAAUGCGCAGAUAUCAGGAGGAACACCGAUGGCGAAGGCAGGUCUCUGGGCUGUAACUGACGCUGAAAAAACAGGGAUGC
Molecule: ribosomal RNA, 441 nt
Filed under: Paenarthrobacter aurescens
Lineage: Bacteria; Bacillati; Actinomycetota; Actinomycetes; Micrococcales; Micrococcaceae
Description: bacterial SSU rRNA
Rfam family: Bacterial small subunit ribosomal RNA
Source: RNAcentral